Molecule: unclassified non-coding RNA, 438 nt
Filed under: Hevea brasiliensis (rubber tree)
Lineage: Eukaryota; Viridiplantae; Streptophyta; Magnoliopsida; Malpighiales; Euphorbiaceae
Source: RNAcentral
GGUUUUGUCGCAAAGUUUUUGUGCUUAUUUUCUGUAUCAACUGCUGUGCUGCUGCUUCUGUUCAAGUCUUGGGCCUUGUUGUUGCUUACACUUUGGUUUCAUUGGAGUGGUAGAUGGAUGAGAAAUCCUUGAAUAUAAGUAACAAUUAAGGAAAUUUCAGUUUGCUUUAGUUCAGUCAAUUGUAGAUGUUUGAACUUAAUGGUAAUUCGUGUAAACUUUCAUGAAUUAGAGAUGAGGGUAACUUGAGCUAAAUUUCGGGUAAGCGUUUUCCAAUGUGCAAAACUGUUACGGUGUUAUGUCAAAGCAUUGAAUUCCUUGGUUGUGCAAUUAAUCAUUGGAAAAUUCAGAGUUGAAAGUCUAUGUGCUUGUGUACCUUUUCUUCUCAAAAUUGGAAAUCAUAUAUUGUUGCGGUUUCAGAUAUACAAGCAGUUAUAAGUC